RNAcentral lists this ribosomal RNA (441 nucleotides) under uncultured bacterium. RNAcentral describes it as "partial 16S ribosomal RNA". It matches the Rfam family "Bacterial small subunit ribosomal RNA", at positions 338 to 795 of the family's 1533-position model. The record is from RNAcentral.
CCUACGGGAGGCAGCAGUGGGGAAUAUUGCACAAUGGGGGAAACCCUGAUGCAGCAACGCCGCGUGAAGGAAGACGGUUUUCGGAUUGUAAACUUCUGUUCUUAGUGAAGAAUAAUGACGGUAGCUAAGGAGCAAGCCACGGCUAAAUACGUGCCAGCAGCCGCGGUAAUACGUAGGGGGCAAGCGUUGUCCGGAUUUACUGGGGGUAAAGGGAGCGUAGAGGGGAGGCCAAGUGAGCUGUGAAAGCUACGGGCUUAACGUGUAGACUGAAGUGGAAACGGGUUGUCUUGAGUGCAGGAGAGGUCAGUGGAAUUCCGAGUGUAGCGGUGAAAUGCGGAGAUAUUAGGAGGAACACCAGUGGCGAAGGCGGCUAACUGGACUGUAACUGACGUUGAGGCUCGAAAGCGUGGGGAGCAAACAGGAUUAGAUACCCGGGUAGUC